RNAcentral lists this ribosomal RNA (429 nucleotides) under Acidobacteriota bacterium. Its description in RNAcentral is "Acidobacteria bacterium partial 16S ribosomal RNA". It matches the Rfam family "Bacterial small subunit ribosomal RNA", at positions 355 to 776 of the family's 1533-position model. The record is from RNAcentral. Lineage: Bacteria; Pseudomonadati; Acidobacteriota.
UGGGGAAUUUUGGACAAUGGGGGAAACCCUGAUCCAGCCAUCCCGCGUGUGCGAUGAAGGCCUUCGGGUUGUAAAGCACUUUUGGCAGGAAAGAAACGUCAUGGGUUAAUACCCCGUGAAACUGACGGUACCUGCAGAAUAAGCACCGGCUAACUACGUGCCAGCAGCCGCGGUAAUACGUAGGGUGCAAGCGUUAAUCGGAAUUACUGGGCGUAAAGCGUGCGCAGGCGGUUCGGAAAGAAAGAUGUGAAAUCCCAGAGCUCAACUUUGGAACUGCAUUAUUAACUACCGGGCUAGAGUGUGUCAGAGGGAGGUGGAAUUCCGCGUGAAGCAGUGAAAUGCGUAGGUAUGCGGAGGAACACCGAUGGCGAAGGCAGCCGCCUGGGAUAACACUGACGCUCAUGCACGAAAGCGUGGGGAGCAAACAGG